GUGCUCACUCCAGCACCAUAUAUACUAAACUUGGGAGGAUAUGGAGAAGAUUGCCAUGGCCUCUGGGCAAGGAUGACAGACAAAUUCUUGAAAGAUUCUAUUUUUGA
Molecule: small nuclear RNA, 107 nt
Organism: Sorex araneus (European shrew)
Lineage: Eukaryota; Metazoa; Chordata; Mammalia; Eulipotyphla; Soricidae
Source: RefSeq, a predicted model, not a curated record